GAUGAAGAACGUAGCGAAAUGCGAUAAGUAAUGUGAAUUGCAGAAUUCCGUGAAUCAUCGAAUCUUUGAACGCACAUUGCGCCCGCCAGUAUUCUGGCGGGCAUGCCUGUCUGAGCGUCAUUUCAACCCUCAUGCCCCUAGGGCGUGGUGUUGGGGAUCGGCCAAAGCCCGCGAGGGACGGCCGGCCCCUAAAUCUAGUGGCGGACCCGUCGUGGCCUCCUCUGCGAAGUAGUGAUAUUCCGCAUCGGAGAGCGAUGAGCCCCUGCCGUUAAACCCCCAACUUUCCAAGGUUGACCUCAGAUCAGGUAGGAAUACCCGCUGAACUUAAGCAUAUCAAUAAGCGGAGGA
Molecule: unclassified non-coding RNA, 348 nt
Filed under: soil metagenome
Description: partial contains 5.8S ribosomal RNA, internal transcribed spacer 2, and large subunit ribosomal RNA
Rfam family: 5.8S ribosomal RNA (bases 1-120)
Source: RNAcentral